Molecule: long non-coding RNA, 5915 nt
Organism: Oncorhynchus nerka (sockeye salmon)
Lineage: Eukaryota; Metazoa; Chordata; Actinopteri; Salmoniformes; Salmonidae
Exons: 5
Source: RefSeq, a predicted model, not a curated record
UAGGUUGACAACUGUGACUCGCUUGUGCGGGUGCUGGCAGCAUAUAACACUGUUCGAUUGUGCGUCAAGAAUUCCGCAUAGCAGAUUUGUAUGAAGGUCUGGUUAUUAAAUGGAGCUAUGAAAAGCUGUCUACAGAUGAACAGGUCAUGGGGACUCCAAGGGGUGCACUUCUUUGUUUUUGCCUUAGCACAGCUGAUUCAAAUGAUCAACUCAUCAUCAAGCUUCAAGUGAUAUCUUGUAACUGAAGAAGUCUGCAGGAUGUUUCAAGGAUAGUGUCCAACAACGCAGAGCGAGAGGCAAUCUGUGCGGGAGAUCUUCACCUCCUACUUCUUUGAAGAGGGUUCUGUUCCCUAGCAACAUCACAGACUACACUAUGCACAACCAAAGGCUCCUUUAAGAGCCUUCCACAUUGCAAUAAGAGUAUUCUUGAAUUUAUUUAGCUAUGUCAACUGCAGUUAUUCAAUUCCCAGUUCAAAUCAAAUUUUAUUGGUCACAUACACAUGGUUAGCAGAUGUUAAUGCGAGUGUAGCGAAAUGCUUGUGCUUCUAGUUCCGACAGUGCAGUAAUAUCUAACAAGUAAUAACAAUUCACCUGUGACUAUCUAAUACACAUCUAAAGGGGUGAUUGAGAAUAUGUAAAUAGAAGUAUAUGGAUGAGUGAUGGCCGAGCAGCAUAGGCAAUGUGCAGUAGAUGGUAUAAAAUACAGUAGAAACGUGAUACGAGUAAUGUAAGAUAUGUAAAUAUUAUUUAAAGUGUCAUUGUUUAAAGUGACUAGUGAUCCAUUUAUGAAAGUGUCCAGUGAUUAGGUCUCAAUAUAGGCAGCAGCCUCUGAGUUAGUGAUUGCUGUUUAGCAGUCUGAUGGCCUUGAGAUUGAAAAACAUCUCUCGGUCCCAGCUUUGAUGCACCUGUACUGACCUCUCCUUCUGGAUGAUAGCGGUGUGAACAGGCAGUAGCUCCUUGAUGAUUGUUGUUGUCUUUGAUGAUCUUUUUGGCCUUCCUGUGACAUUGGGUGCUAUAGGUGUCAUGGGGGACAGAUAGUUUGCCCCCAGUGAUGCGUUGUGCAGACCGCACCACCCUCUGGAGAGCCUUGCGGUUGAGGGCGGUGCAGUUGCCGUACCAGGCUGUGAUCUGUAAAAGUUUGUCAGGGUUUUGGGUGACAAGCCAAAUUUAUUCAGCCUCCUGAGGUUGAAGACGCGCUGUUGCGCCUACUUCACCACACUGUCUGUGGGUGGACCACCUUCUCCUCAGCUGUCCCUUCGAUGUGGAUAGGGGGGUGCUCCCUCUGCUGUUUCCUGAAGUCCACGAUCAUCUCCUUUGUUUUAUUGACUUUGAGUGAGAGGUUGUUUUCAUGAUACCACACUCCGAGUGCCCUCACCUCCUCCCUGUAGGCUGCCUCUUCGUUGUUGGUGAUCAAGCCCACUAAUGUUGUGUCGUCUGCAAACUUGAUGAUUGGGUUGGAGGCGUGCAUGGCCACGCAGUCGUGGGUGAACAGGGAGUACAGGAGAGGGCUGAGCACGCAGCCUCGUGUGUGCUCCAUUUGAUUUCUAUUUCUCAGGUGAGGGUGCCAUUUAAGUAACGGUGUGAUGUCUAUACAAAAACAAAGCAGGCUAUUUUAAGCCACCCAUAUUGAAAAAAGUUAGAACAAUUAGACACCGAAUAGGCAAGAGGGCCAACCAGGGAGAAUAGUAAGACACUUAAUUAUUUCUAUAACUAUGCUAUAUUGUUUGUCGUCGUGUGUCUGUGCAUGUUUUUCAAUAUAAAGUACUCUGCAGCCACUUAGUGUGGACACCAGGUGAGGCCACACGCAUAGAUUCCUGUUGAACACUGUCUCUUUAACUACCUUAUUUUCUCAUUAACAGUCUCUCUUUCACUUCAUCCCUCUCGCCCCUUUUCCCUAAAUCCUCUAGGUUAUAUCAGCUGUGUCGGUGAACCCCUCCCGCAUCUGAACUGUCUACAUAGAGGGCACAGCAUCAAAGGUAUGUUUUGAUGUGAGAGAGGAUACCAACCCCCAGUCCCGUCAUUGCCACCUCACCCGCUCUUAAGAUAACCUUCGGGCCGACUGGGAGCCCAGGACUGGUUAGGAGACACCACUAGAGACACUAUUAUGUAAUUGUGAUGAACUGAGAUAAUAUUAGGUCUCACUGUGAUUCAUUAAUCAUAAGCUGCCUUCCCUGCUCUUCUUACCUCUUUCCCUUUGUCUUUUACACCUCCCUCACCACCUUUCUUCCUGUUUUUAUAAUGUGCAUUGGAGUACAGAUUGAACUUGUAUUUAUAAUAUUACAAUUAUAAUAUUUAUAUAUUUAUAUUUUGCUACAUAUGACCAAAUCAAGGUGGUCGGUUACAUAUAAACAACAGCCUAAAUGUAGGCUAAUAUUUCUGGGGGGGCAAUGAGGAGACUCGGUUUCUUGCCACCAGGGCCCUUUCCCCCAAGCGUUUCCAUGGCAAUUCCAUUAUUUUGGUCGCGGUUGAUUUUAUGUUUAACGGCUGACUAGUAUAUUCGUCGUUUACUGUUUACACUUGGCUAAGAACUAGCCUACUAUUAAAUACAUAAUCUUUUUUUUUAUAGGUUCCCAUUUCAUGAAAAGCCCAGGCUGCAGCAGUAGGUAGAAAAUGUCAGGUAGAUUCAUUGGAAACCAACACAACACUCUCGUCCCUGUGCCCAUCACUUUGAAUAUGAGUGUUUUCAGCAUGAUGACAAGGGAAAUGUCCACCUCACCCCGACUGCGGUGCCCAUCAUUUUCUCCUUCCCUGAUCGUCAUCAAAAGUGGACACAAUGCCCCAGGGAAAGAUGAAGAAAUACGGUAGAUACAGAGAAUCCCGUAACAGAAUCACCCACCACAACAGGACCAAGCGGCGUGGUGACAGGCAGCGGCAGCAGGAGCAGCGAAGUAUGGACUAUACGACUUGGGGGGAAAUAGACAGAUGGGCGGUCGACCCAGGGAGAGUGCCGGAGCCCGCCUGAGAUUCGCUUGAGCAGUGCGAGGAAGGUUAUAGGAGAAUGGAGUUGGAGAGACGAACACGGCGGUGUGGAUGGAAGCCCGAGAGUCAGCCACAAAACACGAAGCCAGGUAGGAGACCUGCGCCAACUUCCUGUGCUUACCGGGGGGCUAGAGAGACCGGGCAGGCACCGUGUUAUGCUGUAAAGCGCACGGUGUCCCCAGUGCGGGUGCAUAGCCCGGUGCGUUACAUACCAGCUCCGCGUAUCGGCCGGGCUAGAGUGGGCAUCGAGCCAAGUGCCAUGAAGCCGGCUCUACGCAUCUGGUCUCCAGUGCGUCUCCUUGGGCCGGCUUACAUGGCACCAGCCUUGCUCAUGGUGUCCCCGGUUCGGUGUCCCGUAACAUCUGUUGGUUUUGUCUUGAUUGUUUUUACCUGUUGCUUAUUUUGGUUCGUCAAUAGUCUAUUUAAACUUCUAGUGCCCGCCUGCUUUUGUGUGGGCUUAUCCUUACGUUCUGUGGUGAAGUUGUUUUUCGCCUGAGUAUUUUGUUGUAUGUUCUUUUCAUGGGUUUUGGAGACAUACUUGAUUACUUGAUUACUUGACAUACUUGAUUUAUGGUCAUUGCCUGAUUGUUGGCUAGACCAAGCGCAAUAUACGCAUUCAUUUGGAAGUAUUGCUCUCUGCGCCUGACUCUACACCCACCACUCCCAGGAAACCCGUGACACCUAUACAGGUUCUCGUUGGAGAUCUUGUUUGGCUAGAACAUGUUGGAGAUCUUGCGGAGGCAAGCAUUGUGAAAGGCAUCAACCUUGCUCAUCUCACUUUUGACUACCCUCCAUCACUCAGAGCCAUAUAAAAGCAGCGACUUCACAUUGCUAUUAUAGAACCUGUUCUUAGUUUUCAGGCUGUAGACUUUUGUGCUCCAUAUGGGACAUAAUCGACUGAAAGCUCAUCUGGGAGAAGACUGUCCACUGGAUUCCUCAGGAAUGGUCAGAUGUUGUUUGACACAUUACCCAGUCGAUGGUAACGAAAAGUAUUGGCGAGAGGAUGCAGCCUUGUCUGACACCAAACUUAACUUGAAAUGACUCUGUAAGAGGAUUAUCAAGGAUGAUGCUUCAUUCAAAGUGUUCAUAGAACUUCCCAACGGUUAUUAAUCUUGGGUGGUAUUUCGUAGUCUCCAAGGAUACUCCAUAAAUUCUCACAGUGAACACUGUUGAAUGCCUUCUUGAAAUCAAUAAAGUUGAUGUAGAGGGGUGCGUUCCACUCGAGGCACUGCUCGAUUAUGUUGCGCAGGGCAAAGGUCUGGUCGAUGCAUCCUCUUCCUUUGCGGAACCUUGCUUGUUCUUGUCUGAGUUUGUCAUCGACAGCAGUGUCAAUCCUUUUGAGAAGUACUCUUCAGAAGUUUUUUUCUGGGGAUGGAGAGGAGGGUUAUACCUCUCCAGUUGUUACAUUAGCUGAGGUUUCCUUUUUUUGGCAGUUUGAUGACUAGGCCUUUUCUCCAGUCUUGUGGUAUGAUAUCUUGCAAAAGAGAACAGUCAGCACCUUGGUAGCUGUGUUAACAUUAGCUUUAAGUAGCUCAGCCUGCAGAGUGUCAGUACUUGGUGCUUUGCCACUCUUCAUAGCCUUGAUGGCUGCUUGGACCUCUGCUUCAACUGCUGGGCUGGUGUCAAUAGAAUCAAUCUGCUGGAUCAUUUGGCUUUGGCCAGUUGAGGACCCCUUCAAAGUGCUGGAUCCAUCUUGCAGUUUGUUCCUCUUCGGUUGUUAACAUUUGACCUUGUUUGGCUUUGACUGGCAUUGUAUGGUUACUAACUUGGCCACAGAGCUGUCUUGUGAUCUUAUCUACAGUGCUUGGUUCUCUUCUUGCUGCAGCUUGUUCUGUCUCACAAGCCAAUUCCUGGACAAAGGCUCAGAGCCCUUUAACAUUUGACCUUGUUUGGCUUUGACUGGCAUUGUAUGGUUACUAACUUGGCCACAGAGCUGUCUUGUGAUCUUAUCUACAGUGCUUGGUUCUCUUCUUGCUGCAGCUUGUUCUGUCUCACAAGCCAAUUCCUGGACAAAGGCUCACAGCCCUUUGAGCACUCUUUUUUACCUCUUUGUCCUUGGUCUUAUAUUCUUGCUGUGCUGGCUCAAUCAGCCUGGGUGAUUCUGCGCUCAGCAGUUUAGCAAGCCGUCUCUCAUCUAUUUUCUUCCAUGUAGCUUGUGUUAACCACUUCUUGCCCGUCUUCUUUCUAAAGCCAGUAACUUUCUUUGGCAUGUCUGUGUAUGCAUUCUUGAUGUUACUCCAACUGUGCCCUGGUCUUCUUCCUUUGCAUUGGCUAAUGGACUGAAGCGAUUUUUUUGCUAAAUGGUGUUGGGAUUCUAGCUUGAAAUGUACUUAUUGAUGUUACCUUACAAUAACUUAGUGAUUACUUUACAUGUAUAAUAAAUGUGUAUGUUGGUGGUCAAGGAAGGGUAAAGAGGAACUUUUGUGAGAAGUUACUGAGUGAGAAAAGGGUAAGUGCAGAAAGUUCAUACUCUGUUCAAAUAUAUUGUUGUAGAAUAUGAAUGUUCCUAAGGAGGGAGGCAAAGGGAAACAGUAUAGUUAUUGAUAAGGCAGACUAGCUGCUGAGGAACCAGGACCAUGAGGGAUGUGGAACUCAACUCGAGAUAAAGUUAACAGUUGAAGAGAGAAGAUAGUGCUGGAAGGGGGGCCACAGGGGCCCACACUGAAGAACAUCUGAUUCCAGUCCUGUCUCACACAUACUGUAUAUAUACAUUUCCACACCCAUGAGGGUCAUAGACUUAGGCAGGGCCAUGACAAUACGAGUCAGAGGAACCUACUGUGUUUCUGCCUAACAACAGAUAAUGCCUGUCUAUCUUCGACAUGCAAGGAGAGGACUCUGCCUAAUUGGAAGGUAAUAAAGAUCUGCUUGUGUGACUUGUAUGUUGUGUUUGUAGCUGAAGCACCACAUGGGUUGAAUAAACUUGGUUUGAGAUUUUU